Molecule: ribosomal RNA, 476 nt
Filed under: uncultured organism
Description: partial 16S ribosomal RNA
Rfam family: Bacterial small subunit ribosomal RNA
Source: RNAcentral
ACACUCCUGCGGGAGGCAGCAGUGGGGAAUUUUGGACAAUGGGCGAAAGCCUGAUCCAGCCAUGCCGCGUGCAGGAUGAAGGCCUUCGGGUUGUAAACUGCUUUUGUACGGAACGAAACGGCCUUUUCUAAUAAAGAGGGCUAAUGACGGUACCGUAAGAAUAAGCACCGGCUAACUACGUGCCAGCAGCCGCGGUAAUACGUAGGGUGCAAGCGUUAAUCGGAAUUACUGGGCGUAAAGCGUGCGCACGCGGUUAUGUAAGACAGUUGUGAAAUCCCCGGGCUCAACCUGGGAACUGCAUCUGUGACUGCAUAGCUAGAGUACGGUAGAGGGGGAUGGAAUUCCGCGUGUAGCAGUGAAAUGCGUAGAUAUGCGGAGGAACACCGAUGGCGAAGGCAAUCCCCUGGACCUGUACUGACGCUCAUGCACGAAAGCGUGGGGAGCAAACAGGAUUAGAUACCCUGGUAGUCCCAUGA